RNAcentral lists this transfer RNA (65 nucleotides) under Tiniocellus sarawacus. RNAcentral's name for it is "tRNA-Trp". The record is from RNAcentral. Lineage: Eukaryota; Metazoa; Arthropoda; Insecta; Coleoptera; Scarabaeidae.
AAGGAUUUAAGUUAUCUAAACUAGAAACCUUCAAAGUUUCCAAAAAAGAAAUUCUUUAAGCCUUA